GAAAAAGGCACUCAACUCAAUCUGCAUAGCAGCCGCAUCCCUCAGUGGGGUGCUAUGCAAUCUGACUGCACUGUAUGAGACUGGCAGGUCAAAGAAUCUUUGGUAUCAGUGGCUGUUUCACAAACCACCCAGCUCAGUGAGGUAGCCACACUGGUUCUCACUACAAACAAAAGGUCCGUUUUAUCAGCUAAUGUACAUAUUGAUGCCGCUGAUUUGUGUAGCACAAAUCUGCUCUCUCUGAAUGCUCAUAAUCAGGCCCACAUGGAAUCUAUGUAUACGAUUUAUGCAGAUUUCCAUAGUCUGUCAUUUACAAAAUUCUGCACAUCUGCUGACCCUCGAACGUCCAUUUAUUAAAUAUUUUGGCUAAUUUGAUUAUUCUUUCAGCUACACAUUGCACCAUGUUUGAAUUAAUUCUGCUGAUUUCUCACCUGAAAUUUUUGCAGAUUCCGUCUGGGCCCACUUAUAAAUCAAUGCUCAGAGCAUCAUUGCAUUAACAGUGCUCACUUUUAUCUGUUCAGCAAGUCCUGCAACAUUUCCAGAAAUGCUACUUUUGCAUUCAAAGACACUAAAAAAAGACUCCUCUUCGAUUUUGAACAUCUCCCCAUGGAGAGCCAAGAGAGAGCAAUAUCUCUUUCACGGUCAGUGAAAGUCUCUUCUGUUAUGGCCUGUGGUAUUUCACAUGCAAUGCAGAGAUGUCCAUCUGCAGUCCUCCCAAGUUUGGUUAUUCUUUUAGAAAGUCCUUGUUUUAAUGGAUUUUUCAAAUGAUCAACAAGGUGCCUUACAUAUGCACAGAUCACAAGUUUAAUAAGAAAUAGAAAUAUGUACCAAUUACCCGCUUUAAUAUUAUGAAGAGAACACAAGUGGGAUAGAGAUCAAAAGGAAAAUAGGGCUUUAGGGGUUAAAGAGGAGGAGAAACUUUUUUUUUAUUUUUUUUUAGUGUUUUUCUGUUUCUGUUG
This is a long non-coding RNA of Cyprinus carpio carpio, 956 nucleotides long. The record is from Ensembl. NCBI's taxonomy places the organism in Eukaryota, Metazoa, Chordata, Actinopteri, Cypriniformes, Cyprinidae.